GAUUUUGUUUCUUAGUAGCCGUUGCAAUCACUCAUAUUUAAGAGAUAAUGGAUACACUUGUACAAUUAUAGGCGAUCGACUAUAUCUUACAGAACCUUCUUCAUAUAAAACAUGACCACCUCAAUAAAAAAUUACUCUAAGGGGUCGUUUGGUAGAGUGUAUUGGAAAAUAUAAUGCAUGCAUUAGUUAAUUUGUACUACUCGUACUUUGUUUGGUACGUCUUUUUU
RNAcentral lists this long non-coding RNA (227 nucleotides) under Capsicum annuum. Its description in RNAcentral is "long non-coding RNA (CANN_LNC020734)". The record is from RNAcentral. Lineage: Eukaryota; Viridiplantae; Streptophyta; Magnoliopsida; Solanales; Solanaceae.